Molecule: ribosomal RNA, 462 nt
Filed under: uncultured bacterium
Lineage: Bacteria
Description: partial 16S ribosomal RNA
Rfam family: Bacterial small subunit ribosomal RNA
Source: RNAcentral
GACGAACGCUGGCGGCGUGCUUAACACAUGCAAGUCGAACGGAAGGGCCCUUCGCGGUACUCGAGUGGCGAACGGGUGGGUGACACGUGAGUGAGCUGCCCUGCACUUUGUGAUACGCCUGGGACACUGGGUCUCAUGCCCUAUUGGACCACGACAUUCUUGUCCGGUUGGGGCAAGCUUUGGCGGCGUUGGUUGGGCCCGUGGCGUAUCGGCUUGUGGUGGGGGUGAUGGCCUGCCAAGUCGAGGGCGGGUAACGGCACUGUGGAGGUGAGCGGCGACACUGGGACUGAGAGACGGCCCAGAUAGCUACGGGAGGGAGCAGGGGGGAAUCUUGCCGGAGGGGCGCAAGCCGGAUGCAGCGACGCCGCGUGAGGGAUGACGGCCUUCGGGGUGUAGACCUCUUGCGCCAGGGACGAAGCGCAAGUGACGGUAACUGGAGAAGAAGGCCCGGCCAACUACGUG